Long non-coding RNA from Lineus longissimus, 5167 nucleotides. RefSeq lists it as uncharacterized. The transcript is spliced from 8 exons. The record is from RefSeq and is a predicted model, not a curated record. NCBI's taxonomy places the organism in Eukaryota, Metazoa, Nemertea, Pilidiophora, Heteronemertea, Lineidae.
CUUCAAAGAUAAUGUAAAGUUUUCUCUGUAAGAUUGUCAGUUUAAGGACCAUAAAUGGCCCGGUUUGUGAAGCAAAACACAUAUUUGAGGACUGAUUUGAUGACCCAACACCCCGCAAAAUGUUUUGGACUAGCCCGUACUAUUUCGUAAUAUUUCGUGAUAUUUCGGGUGAUGUCGGCGCCCGUUUCAACCAUGACGGGAGCCCCCGUAUCCGCAGACGAUGGACAUUUCGUAACUUUUGAUAUUUCGUGGUUAAUUUUUGUCCUCAAAGACAGCUUUUGAUGAGUAAGUAAGAGAAAGGUUGAAUUCGGGGAUUUACUAUGUCCCCACUCCAUGACUUUGUUUUUCAUGAAUUUGUCCGAGGAAUUCGUGAAUUGAUUGAGUAAACAGUGCAGAAAUCGACAGCAGAAUGGCCUUUGACUUGCUUUCCAAAGUCAAGAUGAAUAUCUUUGUAUAAUGACAAGUACUGAGCACCACCAUCCCAAUUUCCAUGCAAGAACCACUUCAGUAAGAGAGCAUAUCAACAUCAAGAACGCUUAGCCAGAGAUGCUUCUCCUUGUGUAGUGAAGAGUGCUGAGCUAUGGAUUCACUUCACCUCACCGCCAUCCCCAAUUUCUUGGAGGGGUUUAACCGUUAAUUCAUAUUGUGAACUUAUUUGAGGAUCAUGAUAGAAGCCUGGUUCCCUACAUGCAAGAGCAUGGUAAAAAACAAGGACUUGGGCUGGAAUAGUGGCCCGAGAUGGAGAGAGCGGACAACUGUCUGCAAAGUGAAGAUGUUCUCGGGUACAUGCCUAUUUCAAGAUCAGGGGCAUGGAUGUCACCGAGGUUGUCCAAGAGAGACCCGGCACCAUGUUACUGCUUGAAAAGACGACGCGGUUUGGUUACAUGGCUAAGUAUCCACUGACAAACUGUCAAAAAGGGAUGGCAACUUGUGUGCCUCCCAGCACCCCUGUAAAUAUACAACUUGAAAUGAUUCCUUGCCUAUGAUAUAAGGCAAAGAGAGAGCUGCUGAAACAGAUGCCAGUCAUUGGACUUGUGACAGUGAUGGCUUGCCUGCACAGGAACAAUUAUUUGCGACUGGCCACUUUAUGGACAACCGAAAGUUGACACCAUAUUGCAUUUACAGGCAUUGACAACAUCACAAUAGGCCACUGAGGGCGAGGACGAGUCUGUGACAGGAUGCCUUGCCACAUAUCUACAUGGUAGCUGCCUGGCUUAGGCAACCGUGCUAUGAUGAGAAGAGCCACUGGAUGAAAGGAUGAAUGCGACCAAGAUGUCAAAGUUGGAGAAAAGCUUAUGACUGUGUAAUGGCUUACUGAUUUAUGAUAGGUCUAUUUCUGUUCCAGCAUGGUUUCAAGAUCUGAGGACAGGGACAAAACAAGAGAGGCCCGGUGAAACCAUGGCUUAGCAAUGAUGCACUUCGAACCUCACAUUCGGAACACCUGCUGUAAACAAGACCUAGCCUACAUUGUUUCCAGAAAGAUGAGAUGGAGAGAUGCAACAACAUAUAUUGAGAAACAUAGGUCCGUUACAUCAAGGUCUAUGCAUAAUCCAUGUGCAUAACAACACAGAUCUUGAUCAAAGAGGGAAUCAGUAAACUUUUGACGGCGCUAAUAUUUCUGCUUUGGUUUAAGCAUUACAUCCUCAGAUGAUACAGAACAUGCAGGACAUGGAGAAUAUCACAAGAACUGUGUGGCACCAAAAAUAUCUGAAGAUUGACUUCUUCCGCUAAGAAUGACUUUGUAGGCCAAAAGGUUUAGAAGUUAUACCUAAAUUCCUAUGGUCUAUGACUAUGACUUACUCUCAAGGUAUAGCCUGGAAAACAUUUCAUCCUGGAUGCAGAGAAAAACUGUAGUUAGAUUACUUGUUAGUUAGUUUUGAGUGUUAGUUUUCACUGUUGAAGAAUACAGACACAGUGCGAAUCAGCAGUGAAGGUUCUUCUCAAGCGAGGAACCAAUGUCUUGGUAUUGCAGCCAUUGUAAGUUAGGUAGUCUAGUGAACUACAUGUAGUUGUUUUCAGUUAUUAAGAUCCAUGGGGUAAGUCGCAUUUAACCUUGAGACUGUUGGACUGGGUCCACUGAAUGUGAUAAAAUAAUCACAGUUGAAUGUCUAGUUCAGGCAAUUAUUUUGGAAUUCGGUGAGGGGUGAAAACUACAUGUAUAUUUUUUUUUUUAAAUACUGAAAAUCAGGUGUUUUACCUAAAUUGGAAUGCUAUGAAGCAUAGAAAAGGACUCGGAAAGACCUUUCACGAGAUGUAUAAUGCAAGUAGCUUUGAUGAUUGGAUUUAUUUAUUUUUUUUAAUUUGAAAAUAGUGUUUUUCAAGAAAAAUCGCACGUUCCUGGUAUUGAGGCAGAAAAAAAUGACGCGAUCUCAAAGAGUUAAAAUCCAUGGGGUUGGUCACAUUAACCUCGAAUCUAUUGGACUGGGUCCACUGAACUUGAUAAAAUAAUCGACACUGAUUUACAAAUGAAAUGAAAUGAAGAGUCGGCGUUUUGGUUUACGAAGGUUUUGAUGCCUUGCUGGCAUAUCUGCAUACCAGUAAAUAUGUGCAGAUUCAUUUCUUGCUUUGAAGCAAUGUUGUUGCUACACUCCUAUAGCAGUGGCAAUGUUCAGGUCUUUUCUGCCUCGCGGGCAAAUCUGCAUACCAGUAAUUAUGUGCAGACUUGGCUCUUCCUGAAAUUAUAGGACUGGGUCCAUUGAAUGAAACAAAAAUAAUCGAUACCUAUUUACAAAUGAAAUGAAGAGUCUGCAUUUUGGUGCAACUCCAUAAAACUGGCAGGUGAUUUCGCUCUGAACUUGUGACACUCUGAUCGGUCUGAAAUAAUCAUUAUCCCGCCCCUCUGGGAAAAAUUUGCAGCCAGAUUGCGCCAUUUCCUGUUACCGUCUGAGAGAUGGCGAUGUCCGGGGCGCAUGACGGUGGUUAAACCUAUUGCGAAUGGGCAGCACAAUUGGGUGUAGGAUAUUCGGAAACCAUUGCACACUCCUGAAUCUGCGGUGGGUUGGUACCCCACGCUACGUAAGGAGUAGGUUGACGGGUAAGCCUUGGUCCACGUGAAUGGGUCGUGCCUUAAAAAUGAUGAGAAGUUGCGAAUUGACGCCCUGUGAAGUGUCCUUCGACCAGCUAGUGCUAAUCCGGUCACUGUCUCCAGGUCACCAUGCCUCGGUCAAUGAGCGGGCGAAGCACCCAAUGGCUCCGUCAGGAGUACAUCGUCAACUUCAGCCCGUAGUCAAACCGGUACACGCACAAAUAUCUUAGUUGAGAGUGGGGGACAUCAGUAAAGUGCUUCUCAUCGGGGUAAUACAGUACCACUGUAUACAAUGACCCCAUUUUUUGUUGGAUUCAUUUCCACUGAGGAGUGGUCGACAAUGAGAAUUUCAGGCCAGUCUGAUUAUCACCAGUGCAGAGGGCAAUUAUCUAAUAGUUAUGUGGCUUUCCCUCAAACUAUAUACUCUUUCAUGUCAAUUGUAAAUUAGUGUUGCUUGGUAGUGUUCAGGGUCUUUUUGUCGAACAGGCACAUCUGCAUACCAGUAAUUAUGUGCAAACAUCAUUUUUGCUUUGAAGCAAUAUCGUUGCUACACUUGUGAAGCAGUGGCAGUGUUCAGGUCUUGUCUGCCUCGCUGACAUAUCUGCAUACCAGUAGUUAUGUGCAGACUUGGCUCUUUCUUUGGAGCAGUACAGUUGUAAGAUAAAUCCUGUUUGUAAUUUUAUAAAUUAGUUGCUCAUUAAGGGCUUACAAAGGUUUUGAUGCCUUGCUGGCAUAUCUGCAUACCAGUAAAUAUGUGCAGAUUCAUUUCUUGCUUUGAAGCAAUAUUGUUGCUACACUCCUUAAGCGGUGGCAAUGUUCAGGUCUUUUCUGCCUCGAGGGCAAAUCUGCAUACCAGUAAUUAUGUGCAGACUUGGCUCUUCCUGAGAUUGAGAUUGUAGGGCUGGGUCCAUUGAAUGUAACAAAAAUAAUCGAUGCCUAUUUACAAAUGAAAUGAAGAGUCUGCAUUUUGGUGCAACUCCAUAUAACUGUUUUCAGAGAAUUUCAGGCCAGUCUGAUUAUCACCAGUACAGAGGGCAAUUAUCUAAUAGUUAUGUGGCUUUCCCUCAAACUGUAUACUCUUUCAUGUCAAUUGUAAACUAGAAUUGUCAGUUGAGUCUGCAGGCAUACUCUGAAGUCUCCGCCACGGCGUUCUGAAUGCGCAUGUGCAGUCAGUGCGAACAUCGUCUUGGUUCCCUCGGCUGUUCCUAGGAGGCGUGCUAUUCCUGCCCUCUAGGAACAGCCGAGGGAACCAAGACGUGCGAGUAACGUUCCGAGUGCUCAUUGCCGCAAAAACAAUCUACGAAACUACAAUGUAUUCCGUGCUCAAAGUGCUCGAAUAACGACGUACUGCCGACGUGGACUUGGAAUAAUAAAUGAACUCGCCGUACGUAAGAGCAGAAUAUUUUAUCAAUGUGCGGUUUUCUCGAAACUUCGUGUCAAAUCUUGACAAAAUUGCGACAAUUGAAAUCCACCCACAAGCACUACAACGUGUACACACGCAUAGGCACAUCGGCGCCCUAGGCCGAGGUUGAUUUUGCCGAGAAAGUUUCCUAGCUAACCCAAGAGUCUCCUCUCACGGCCACUACGUGCCGUGGCGGAGACUAAUUAGUGUUGCUUGGUAGUGUUCAGGGUCUUUUUGUCGAACAGGCACAUCUGCAUACCAGUAAUUAUGUGCAAACAUCAUUUUUGCUUUGAAGCAAUAUCGUUGCUCCUUGAUCGUUGCUACACUUGUGAAGCAGUGGCAGUGUUCAGGUCUUGUCUGCCUUGUCUGAUUGUCACUAGUCCAGAGGGAAAAUACCUGAUGGUUAUGUGGCUUUCCCUCAAACUGUAUACUCUUUCGUGUCAUUCAUAAAUUAGUAUUGCUCGUUUUACCUCGCAUCUCAUGGGCAGAAAGAACAGUUGGGUAGAGUCCUGAUGCUCCCUGUUGUUGGUCUUUGACUAAAGAUCAUAAUCACUCGGGGUAGUUCUGUGAUUCCUUUUACCACGAGCAGGCCCCUUUAGGCCUACAACAUGUCAUUGUUGUAAAUUUCAAUUAAGAAUAAAGUAUGCAGGUGUCAUUUUGUUUGCUUUAGUGUUUAUGGCGUUGUAUUGUUAGAUUAGAGCUGCAGAAUAAACUUAAGUAAAUAAACAGAAUAUUUGUUU